Long non-coding RNA from Physeter macrocephalus (sperm whale), 3026 nucleotides. RefSeq lists it as uncharacterized. Lineage: Eukaryota; Metazoa; Chordata; Mammalia; Artiodactyla; Physeteridae. The record is from RefSeq and is a predicted model, not a curated record. The transcript has 6 exons.
GCCGGCCCCCCCCGACCGUUCUGCCCGCAUUCCGUCGGCUUAGUAUCUCCACCAAUACUGUGCGUCGGAUUGCUAUUGCACCCGCCGAUCCCUUGACUGACAUCUCUCUGGACCCAAUCGAAGGUUCGAGCCUAUUCCUCUCUUCACUGGACGAGGUUCGCAGCCUAGGUCAUGAUGCCCGUGCCUGGUCUAUAGACGUGCCCUCCAGAAUUGAGGCAACUUCACCCUCCUUUAUCCACCAGGAAAGGCAGAGGUGUGAGGGUGGAGGGGAGUCUGACAGAGAGAAAAUGAUUGACGGACAGUCGCCGCUUCCAAUCGGAGUGCCGUGCGCAGGCCGGCUAGCCUAUGGGACUCAGCUUCUCUGGCGAGAGGCGGGCCUCUCAGAUGUAGGAAGUAUUCGUGGGUGCCUGGGUAUUCAGGCAGGCAAAGGGCUUAGCGGCCUCUGGAAAAAGGCAAGCGCAAGCCGUGGACAUGCUCAUGGCGCAGAGGGUCAUUCACAGGUGGCUUGGGUCAGGAUGUUUCCCUGUGAGCUGAACAAAGAGCAAACUUAAGUCUUCUGAGGGUUCAGAAACCCAUUACUCUCCAGGCCUUUCGGGAGUUGGGCCAUUUUCUGAUGACAGUGGUGCUGCUUUAAUCUGAGUGUGAUAAAUCCAUGGCUUUUCUCCAGCUAACUUGACAGAUGAGUGCAUGGGGAAGCCAGCUGCCAUGUCAUGAGGCAGGUGAAGAGGGUCUCGAGGCAAAAAACUGAGUUCUGCCGAGAGCCAAGUGAUCAGAUCUGCUGAGGAGAAAUUUGAAUUUAUCUAUGCAAGUGGAAAUUCCAAGGCUGAAGACCAAAUACAUAUUUGAAGAACCUCAAUACCAAGCCAAAGAACUACAGAGAACGCCACACCCAAGUACAGUAUAUUCAAACUGCUGAACACCAAAGAUAAAGAGAAAAUCUUAACUGUGGUUGAGCUAGGUGUGCGUUUUGUUGUUGCUCUGGUUACCCUCAGUGGACCACCAGCUUUGAAUUCUUCCAGCUUUGCCUUGUGCUUGAGAUGGGGACGGGUUACCAGAGGUUUUAUCCGUGUUCUUAUGCCCCUGGCCCCCCUCAGCUUUAGGCUUUCCCUGUGAGCCAGAACCUCAGAGAUCACUGUUCUGCAUGCUCUUGUCCCAUUCCGUGUGGUAGACAGUUGAUCUUUGUAAUUGGUCCUCACUGGCCCCGUGGAGGUGCGAAAGGGUAUUCUCUGGUUUUCCUUCUUAAGCCUCAAUCUUAGGCUUCUGUUGUAUUCCUGGGGCUCGGUGGUGGAGGUUACUCAGUGAUUCUGCCACGCCUGCAAAAACAGAGAAUUUCUAAUGAUCUGAGCCCACAUGGUUUCCCGAGACUGUCCGAACAGUAGCGUGAGUUUUGCCCUCCUUCCUUUCCUUUGCUGCAGUGGGUCUUUGCCUGUGUUCUAAGUUUGGCAGUUCUUGCCACCCUUUCCUCAACAGCUUAAUGCUUUUGUUCCAUGGAGGAGGAAGGUCUGGGUGGUGAUUUAGGCUUUCUGAACCACCCUGUUCUCCAUCUUUCUUCUGAUGUCCGUAAAGAAUAACCUGUGAGUUGGUACAAACUCCCUUUAUAUGUGAAUCUCCCAGGGGUUCUAUACUCUCACAUUUGCCUCAACUGGUCUUUAGCAGGUUGUUAGAAUUUUUAGCUGAAAUCUUGCCCACUUGUGUGGCAUAUGUGGCUUGACUUGGUGAAGAAAGUAGCAUACAAAAAAAAAAAACAAAAAAAAACAACUUACGGGCUUCCCUGGUGGCGCAGUGGUUGCGCGUCCGCCUGCCGAUGCAGGGGACGCGGGUUCGUGCCCCGGUCCGGGAAGAUCCCACGUGCCGCGGAGCGGCUGGGCCCGUGAGCCAUGGCCGCUGAGCCUGCGCGUCCGGAGCCUGUGCUCCGCAACGGGAGAGGCCACAACAGUGUGAGGCCCGCGUACCACAAAAAAAAAAAAAAAAGAAAGAAAGUAGCAUAAUCUUAUACAAGGCAAAGUGCUAUCUGUAUCAAGCCUUUCUCUGAUUCCGGGGAGUGCAACCCAUGCUGGGGGGAGGAAUUCUUAGCCAACCUUGGCCAUGGGGUUAGUUCUCUUGGUCUAAACUCACUCUCUGCACCUAGUACCAAUGCUAGGCAACUACUGUUUUUAGAUAGUUCCUUUUUCGGGAGCAGGGGGCUGUGGCUCCAAGCUGUAGAUAAAUUCCUAAAACUGUAUGUUUAUGUUAUGAUUUAGCAAAUUAUGUACUCUUUAAGAUUAAGUGUGGUAAUCCAUUAAAUUCCCUAUGAAACUUCAUAACCUGUGGAUACAGGCAGAGCAGAACGAAUCUUCUCAGACCCUAAUUAGACACGUGUGCAUUCAAUAAGUUACCCCAAAUUGCAACUUACACAGGCUAGAGCAUGGCAACUGAUUUCUGGGGGAAAUGUAUUUGUAAGAUUUACUCUGAGGUCCAAACUUUAGAAUAAUUAAUUUAAAAUAAUCAUAAGGGGAAAGUACUUACCCUGGGAGAAGAGGGAACCCUUUCAGCACAUUACCAGGACUCGCUGGCUGCUUAUGUAAUAGCCAUUACCCCCAUUUUGCUUUUUAAAUAUCCCAGGUUUUUCUCAGGUACCCACCUUCUUUGCUAUGGUGAAGUUUAAUCACAUUAAUUUCCCUUGCUAAGAAUGGGUUUAGGAACAGACUUAGGAAAAAUUAUGACCCAGGAGGUGAGGGGUGUGUGUGUGUGUGUGUGUGUGUGUGUGUGUGUGUGUGUGUGUGUGUGUGUGUGUGUGUGUUUAUGAGGCAAAGGACUGCUGGGUGGGUUGCUAAGAUUUAGUUUUUGGAGGGGACAUUGUGACAAAAGCCCUUCUUUAACUGGAUUUUGUUGGCUGACACCUGGGGUGGUGGCAACCAAUCUAUGUUCUAGAAGAGCAGCGAGAGAGAAAGAACCCAGCUCCUUGAUAAUGUCAUUGAGACACUAAAAUACAAAUAAAGCCAUCAUAUAAAUAGGCAACAUAAAUAAGUAAAUAAAGAAAUGAUAGU